GUUGCUGCCCUCUGCCCUCUCACGACCACGCCGUCGGGGCAGUUUUGGCCACCUCCCCACACCUCGCCCCACCUCUUCCUCAGAUCCUCCCCGCCAGCCAUCGCCCUCGACCUGUGCCUCCGUCUGCACGCGCCGCCAGACCACCGCACCCAUGCUCCAAGUGCUCGGGCUGCCCCAUCCACGCGCUGCCCGGGCCGCCACACCCACUCGCCGCCCAGACACAGGCGCCGAACCUCCACGCUACAGAUGUAUUGGAGACGGCAGGCAGCGGCAGCAGGAGGAAGAUGACUGGGGCAACGAGCUCAGAUGCACACUUCUCUGGAAGUCCAGGCAGCUGGCAACAGGCAACCAAGACCCAAGACGAUGGGCUAGGUACUUCAUCUCCCGCCCCGCGCAGUAGGUUCAGUAAGCUUUGCCUCCAACAUGUGGCCUAUUAGCUCUUGACUUGUUUUCUGACUCAAGUCUGCAUGUGUUCUUAUCCAAUUCCGCAUGUGUUUCUGUUCUCUUUUGUUGAUUAUAUUACUCUUUUGUGUGACAACCCUAUUUUGCGUGUUUAAGUUAUGCCAUAUGCGAUCAUGAAUUCAUUAUUGUAGAGACUACAGAGGAACUCCAGCUUGCUUUGUUAGGAAAUUAAACCGUAGGGCAAUCACGUGUGAGUACAGUGACAUAAUAAAACUGUCAAAAAUAUACAACAACAAUGCAUCAUAUGAAUGAACACUUUGUAUUUGCAUUUUGUUGUAACUAGAAGUUCAGUAACUAAAAGGUAAACCCACAAUUGACAUGUCAUUGCUUUAGUUGGCCAAAAGAGACAUGUUUCUGAAAAUACAUUCAUCAAGUUCUUUAUUGCCUAUAAAUACCACCUGUAAGUAUUCCAUCUUCAUUUCAUAAAUUCACUAUUUGGACCAUUAAGCACAGACAAGAAUCAAUUCGGAAUAUGGACCUUUAAGCACAAACAUAAAUUAUGUGUACCAAUCGAAUAUUUUUCUGGUACAAGAUUGCCCUCUAUGGCCUGAUAUCUGCAAAUAUUUCUCAAAGACAUGAAUGAGUUGAUGCUGCCUUAUCCCACGUCGGUGCAGUCUACUCUUUGGUUGGUGUCGAGCCACAGUUCCGAUGCCUUGCUGCUCAGGUCGGGAGAAGUCGCGGUAGUGCACACACUGUCGUUUGUUGCUGGGAUCAACAUACUACUAUAGUGAAUUUAUGGCUUCUAUCUUGCAUGGAUGCCUAGGUGGCUGUUGUUGUCGCCUUCAUGCCCACAAGAGCUUGUUUGUCGCCGAGGUCGCCAGGCAAAAGUGUCCUUUUCUGCUUCGAGCUGCUUUGACCGGUGGCACACUUCAGUGAUAAUGCUCUCACCUCAUGGACAACACAGUCGUGGGACUCGUGUUUGCUGGCGGAAAGGUGGAGCAAGAGGUCUCUGAAGCUGCAGCAGAACGAGUCUGUAGAGACGGUGUUGAAUUUUAUCAAGGUUUUUUCAUUUGUUUUGAACCAUCCAGGAGAGACAAGGUUGCUUCAUUUGCAAGCUCAAAACGCUUUAUGAUUGUAUUCUGCUUCUCUACCCAGUUCAUUGAACCUAUGAAAUUGGUUGUCGGUGUUUGAUCCCAUUAGUAGUAUGAUCAAUUUUGUUUUGAGACAUGCAGUCCCCAAAUCCAACACUCCCCACGAUCCGACGAAUGGGAGAGGGAAGCUGAGCAAUGGCCGCACCACUGUAGACAAACAGCUUAACAAUGAGGUAUUAUAAUGUAAUGAAAAUAAUUGUUUGUUUCUUCUCGUGCCUUUCUAUGUAGGUCUGCUUCGUAUAGUUCAUGUACUGUUCUGUCCUUGCAUUGUUUUCUUCUACUAUUUUUGUUGUAUAUUACUUAGUACAUCGGUUGGUGUAAAAUUUCCCAUGUUUUGGUUAAUCUAGCCAGUAAAAAUAAGUUCAGUUUGGUAGGCUGUGCACUUGUUAAACCACCUUUAACUGAACAUGUACAAGCAUCAAAUCUAGGAUAUUUCAAGUCUCUUCACAAAAAAUAUAUUACAUAGCAGUAGUUUCAUCUUAUUGUUCUACCAACCCGAGUUUGAGGUGUAUUUGUGGUACUUUGAAGUAUAAAAAUUGUAGUAAUUGUCCUUCCUCUCUUCAUUUUUUUGUAUUCUUUUAGCUCAGGCUUACACUUUGUGACUGGGCAUUAAAUUGCAUUCUUCUGUUUUGCUGUUGCAAAGAGAGAAUAAAAAUGGGAUGCGCUGCCACAUGAAAAACUUGGACUAAUUGAUAAGAUACCAAACCUGGGCACUAUGUAGUUGUUCUGCAUCUGAAAUCUCUUUAUAUAGUAGUUGAGUAUACUGUAGUUAAUUUCACCGAUAUUUGUGUGUCAGUUAUUUGGUUAUUUGGUCUGAACCUACAAUCCAAGGUUAGUAAUUAUUUAGUCUGAAACUACAAUUCCUUUUCAUGUCUUGUUGUAAACUUCUCUUGACACAAAGAGUUUCUGGAGUUUGGAUGGCAAUUUGAAAAUUCCAGUGUGUGCUUCAAGAUGUAUGCAUCUAAUUUUGGAGCCUAUUCAUGUUGGUUUAGCAUAUUUCCACCACACUCCAUAUCUCACAGGAUUUAGAGCAGAGGGCCUUUUACAAUAAAUACUACAUAACAUAGUGUUGUUCGGUGGGAUGCAAUUUUUUUUGUUUCAUUCAUCCGCUAUCCUUGUUGUAUUUUACAUAGCUUAUAAUACUAUUUGCUGUGUUUCAGGGGCAGGAUAUGCAAUAUAGGAUAACUUGACUAAGCUUUGUGAAAUUUUGGUUCCAUUGGGUGACUUUUAUUUUCCUUUGAUGCCUAAGAUGCACAUGGAAAAUCACAUAAUUUGAUCCUUCUGAGUCUGGUAGAUUCGCUACCAAUGGUUGACUUAGCACUUAUCUUGUGUUGCAUAAUUGUUUCAGAUUACCAUCCUUGUAUAGCAGCAAAUCAACUACGUGCCUCUUUUGAGAAGCAAAGAUGUUGAUUGUCCACCUUGAAGGUUAUAGUUUCUAAAGAGGCUACACAUGCCAUUUAGAAUAUCUUAUCUCACAACUUUCACUUGAUCAGUCUAAGAAUGAAAGGAAGUAGCAUUAAAUAUACAAAAGUCUCCAUAAGGUUAGCUUAAGACGGUAGUGUCCCAUCUUUAAAUCCGCCAAGAACGCUAGAAACAAAUUUGAUUACCGACUGGACAUAUCUGUCAUGCAUGUUUAGUACCUUGACUCUUUAAUCUUUAUAUAUAGACAAAGCUCUAUAUCGAGGGAUGAAGUGUUUGGAGCCCGGAUGAAGAAUGCUUCCGUGGUGGAGAAAGAGGAGAACUAUUGAGAAUGCUUGCAAACCGCUUAGAAUUUUUGUUUAGCAGACUCGGACUCCUUGUGUUCUUUUUUUAGUCGCGGACUCCUUGUUUGAUACAAUACAUCUGAAGAGCCCUUUUUGCGCACUGUUCAAAUAAGCUCUUCAUUUUUGUGAGUCUGGUCAAACAACGCACUUCAAAUAAUGAAGUUAUUGUCUCGGGGAUAUUGGCCAAAUGUUGUACUUAUCAUCCUAGAUAAUCCCU
RNAcentral lists this ribosomal RNA (3533 nucleotides) under Triticum aestivum (bread wheat). RNAcentral describes it as "partial small subunit ribosomal RNA". Lineage: Eukaryota; Viridiplantae; Streptophyta; Magnoliopsida; Poales; Poaceae. The record is from RNAcentral.